GUCUGCUGGUAAAGAUGCUAUUCUUCUCCCCAUUUCCUGUUUCUUAAAUGAGAGCACAAGGAUGGUGAAGUAAGAGAGAGAGAGAGAUCAAAACGAUGGUGAGAGCAAUUAUUCAUGUAAAGUGAACUUUAAUCUAAUUUAUUCCUGCAGAGCUGCCCAGCAGGGCAUUUUAGGUGGUAAGAAGUUUGGUUUGUUGAGCUGUGUAUCUCAGUAUCCACUGGCACAGUUCCUAUUUUUUAACUACUAUUCUUCACAUGGAUUCAUAAAAUCUCACUUGCACCUCUUGGCUCUCUCUCUCUCUCUCU
RNAcentral lists this unclassified non-coding RNA (305 nucleotides) under Hevea brasiliensis (rubber tree). The record is from RNAcentral. Lineage: Eukaryota; Viridiplantae; Streptophyta; Magnoliopsida; Malpighiales; Euphorbiaceae.